Molecule: ribosomal RNA, 494 nt
Filed under: uncultured bacterium
Lineage: Bacteria
Description: partial 16S ribosomal RNA
Rfam family: Bacterial small subunit ribosomal RNA
Source: RNAcentral
GACGAACGCUGGCGGCGCGCUUAACACAUGCAAGUCGAACGGAAAGGCCUGCUUUCCCUUGUGGAUUGCGGGUACUCGAGUGGCGAACGGGUGAGUAACACGUGAGUGAUCUGCCCCCAACUUGGGUAUAAGCCUGGGAAACUGGGUCUAAUUCCCGAUAGGACUGCAGGGUGGUGCCUGUGGUGGAAAGCGAUUUUCUAGUGGUUGGGGAUGAGCUCGCGGCCUAUCAGCUUGUUGGUGGGGUAAUGGCCUACCAAGGCGGCGACGGGUAGCCGGCCUGAGAGGGUGGACGGCCACAUUGGGACUGGGAUACGGCCCAGACGCCUACGGGAGGCAGCAGUGGGGAAUAAUGCACAAUGGGCGGAAGCCUGAUGCAGCGACGCCGCGUGGGGGAUGACGGCCUUCGGGUUGUAAACUCCUUUCGACCGCGAGGAAGCCACCUGGUUGGAAGGGUGGUGACGGUAGUGGUAGAAGAAGCACCGGCUAACUACGUG